This 484-nucleotide ribosomal RNA is filed under the name uncultured bacterium. RNAcentral's name for it is "partial 16S ribosomal RNA". It matches the Rfam family "Bacterial small subunit ribosomal RNA", at positions 30 to 507 of the family's 1533-position model. The record is from RNAcentral.
AUUGAACGCUGGCGGCAGGCUUAACACAUGCAAGUCGAGCGGGUGGUGGUGGUUUGCUUGUGGGUCCAGUGGCGGACGGGUGAGAACUGCCCCGGAAUAUGCCUGGAACUGCGGGAUACCGUUCCGAAACGGGCGUUAAUACAGCAUCAGAACUGAGGAUCCACGCGGGGGGUGUCUGGCCUCUACGCUAUCAGUUGAGCCUAGGUCGGCUUAGCUAGUUGGUGGGGUGAAGGCGUACCAAGGCGACGAUCCGCAACUUGUCUGAGAGGAUGAUCAGUCACACUGGAACUGAGACACGGUCCAGACUCCUACGGGAGGCAGCAGUGGGGAAUAUUGGACAAUGGGCGAAAGCCUGAUCCAGCCAUGCCGCGUGUGUGAAGAAGGUCUUCGGAUUGUAAAGCACUUUAAGUUGGGAGGAAGGGCAGUAAGUUAAUACCUUGCUGUUUUGACGUUACCAACAGAAUAAGCACCGGCUAACUUCGUG